UACGUAGGUGGCAAGCGUUGUCCGGAUUUACUGGGCGUAAAGGAUGCGUAGGCGGAUAUGUAAGUCAGAUGUGAAAUUCCCGGGCUUAACUUGGGAACUGCAUUUGAAACUGCAUGUCUAGAGUGCAGGAGAGGAAAGUGGAAUUCCUAGUGUAGCGGUGAAAUGCGUAGAGAUUAGGAAGAACACCAGUGGCGAAGGCGACUUUCUGGACUGUAACUGACGCUGAGGCAUGAAAGCGUGGGGAGCAAACAGG
RNAcentral lists this ribosomal RNA (253 nucleotides) under uncultured Clostridium sp. RNAcentral describes it as "partial 16S ribosomal RNA". It matches the Rfam family "Bacterial small subunit ribosomal RNA", at positions 524 to 776 of the family's 1533-position model. The record is from RNAcentral. Lineage: Bacteria; Bacillati; Bacillota; Clostridia; Eubacteriales; Clostridiaceae. RNAcentral also lists the same sequence under 2 other names.